Molecule: ribosomal RNA, 441 nt
Filed under: uncultured bacterium
Lineage: Bacteria
Description: partial 16S ribosomal RNA
Rfam family: Bacterial small subunit ribosomal RNA
Source: RNAcentral
CCUACGGGUGGCAGCAGUGGGGACUAUUGCACAAUGGGGGAAACCCUGAUGCAGCAACGCCGCGUGGGUGAAGGAGCGUUUCGGCGCGUAAAGCCCUGUCAGCGGGGAAGAAGAAAGACGGUACCCGACAAAGAACACCCGGCUAACUACGUGCCAGCCGCCCCGGUAGUACGGAGGUGGAGAGAGUGAUCCGGAAUUACUGGGGGUAAAGGGAGCGUAGACGGCGAGGUAAGCCUGAAGUGGAAGCCAGCGGCCCAACCGCGGAACUGCUUUUGGAACUGGUUUGCUGGAGUAUUGGAGGGGUACGCGGAAUUCCUGGUGUAGCGGUGAAAUGCGUAGAUAUCAGGAGGAACACCGGUGGCGAAGGCGGCUUACUGGACCAUAACUGACGUUGAGGCUCGAAAGCGUGGGGAGCGAACAGGAUUAGAUACCCCAGUAGUC